GAUGAAGAACGCAGCGAAAUGCGAUAAGUAAUGUGAAUUGCAGAAUUCAGUGAAUCAUCGAAUCUUUGAACGCACAUUGCGCCCGCCAGUAUUCUGGCGGGCAUGCCUGUCUGAGCGUCAUUUCAACCCUCAUGUCCCUAGGGCGUGGUGUUGGGGAUCGGCCAAAGCCCGCGAGGGACGGCCGGCCCCUAAAUCUAGUGGCGGACCCGUCGUGGCCUCCUCUGCGAAGUAGUGAUAUUCCGCAUCGGAGAGCGACGAGCCCCUGCCGUUAAACCCCCAACUUUCCAAGGUUGACCUCAGAUCAGGUAGGAAUACCCGCUGAACUUAAGCAUAUCAAUAAGCGGAGGA
RNAcentral lists this unclassified non-coding RNA (348 nucleotides) under soil metagenome. RNAcentral describes it as "partial contains 5.8S ribosomal RNA, internal transcribed spacer 2, and large subunit ribosomal RNA". The stretch from base 1 to 120 matches the Rfam family "5.8S ribosomal RNA", at positions 35 to 154 of the family's 154-position model. The record is from RNAcentral.